RNAcentral lists this ribosomal RNA (518 nucleotides) under uncultured eukaryote. RNAcentral's name for it is "SSU rRNA". It matches the Rfam family "Eukaryotic small subunit ribosomal RNA", at positions 22 to 548 of the family's 1831-position model. The record is from RNAcentral.
AGUCAUAUGCUUGUCUCAAAGACUAAGCCAUGCAUGUCUAAGUUUAAGCGAUUUAAACGGUGAGACUGCGGACGGCUCAUUAUAUCAGUUAUAGUUUAUUUGAUGGUCGAUUACUACAAGGAUAACCGUAGGAAUUCUAGAGCUAAUACUUGCACUUCAAACUGAUUUUUCAGUUGCACUUAUUAGAUUUACCACCAAUGCUCUUCGGAGCUUCGGUGAUUCAUAGUAAUUUAGCGGAUCGCUACGGCUUCGGCCGCGACGCUUCAUUCAAAUUUCUGCCCUAUCAGCUUUCGAUGGUAGUGUAUUGGACUACCAUGGCUUUGACGGGUAACGGAGAAUUAGGGUUCGAUUCCGGAGAGGGAGCCUGAGAAACGGCUACCACAUCUAAGGAAGGCAGCAGGCGCGCAAAUUACCCAAUCCCAACGCGGGGAGGUAGUGACAAGAAAUAACAACAACUAACCUAUUUCAGGUGAGUUGAUUGGAAUGAGUACAAUCUAAACACCUUAACGACUAUCCAU